UACGAAGGACCCGAGCGUUAUCCGGAUUUAUUGGGUUUAAAGGGUGCGUAGGCGGAUUAGUAAGUCAGUGGUGAAAGCCCAUCGCUUAACGGUGGAAUUGCCAUUGAUACUGCUAGUCUUGAGUAUGGUUGAGGUGGGCGGAAUGUGUCAUGUAGCGGUGAAAUGCUUAGAUAUGACCCAGAACACCAAUUGCGAAGGCAGCUCGCUAAACCAUAACUGACGCUGAUGCACGAAAGCGUGGGUAGCGAACAGG
This 253-nucleotide ribosomal RNA is filed under the name uncultured bacterium. RNAcentral describes it as "partial 16S ribosomal RNA". It matches the Rfam family "Bacterial small subunit ribosomal RNA", at positions 524 to 776 of the family's 1533-position model. The record is from RNAcentral.